This 590-nucleotide long non-coding RNA is filed under the name Ictidomys tridecemlineatus (thirteen-lined ground squirrel). Its description in RNAcentral is "lncRNA (ENSSTOG00000034718.1)". The record is from RNAcentral. Lineage: Eukaryota; Metazoa; Chordata; Mammalia; Rodentia; Sciuridae.
GCACCUUCUCUGGGCGCUGUGGGUCUGUGUGUGUCCGGACUGGGAGAUCCCGAGUGCCUCCCGGUGCGAGUUCCCACUCACCACUCCCUGGAGGAAGACGGGAGCUUGGAGGCAGGGUUGGAGUCUGCGGCGUCAGCCCAGGAUGCUCACCCGUGGGAGAGGACACCCGGACGAGACCAGGACGGGGCGUCUCAGGAGUGAGAAUUGUAUUUCUGGGGAAAUGGGAUUUUAUUCCUUAAAACGUUCACAUGUAACUUGGCGCCUUCCUGUCCAGGCUGAUGUUUUAAGACGCGGCCGUGCCUCACCCCGGAGUGCUAGCAAAGUGUUGUGGAAGGCCAGCCUCCAGCAACGUUCCUGCGGCCCGAGGUAGCGGGGCAGCGAUGGUCCUGAAGCGUGAGCACUGUGGGGCUCACUUCCACUUUGCCAGGCUGGACCAGCCUUCCUGAAACGGUCCCUCCAUCAGACUGAACAAUGUCUGUUAAAUGAAGAAUGAAUAGACAGAAGAAGGGGGAUGGGAGUGUGCCAUUUCCCAAAUUCCCUGAUCUCAGAAAUGAAACAACAACAACAACAACAACAAAAACCACUUUUUA